GCUGAUGUGGUGGAACGGCAGACACCGGGGACUUAAAAUCCCUUGCUGAAAGGCGUGCGGGUUCGAAUCCCGCCAUCAGCACCA
Molecule: transfer RNA, 84 nt
Filed under: Clostridia bacterium
Lineage: Bacteria; Bacillati; Bacillota; Clostridia
Description: tRNA-Leu
Rfam family: tRNA
About the family: Transfer RNA (tRNA) molecules are approximately 80 nucleotides in length. Their secondary structure includes four short double-helical elements and three loops (D, anti-codon, and T loops). Further hydrogen bonds mediate the characteristic L-shaped molecular structure. tRNAs have two regions of fundamental functional importance: the anti-codon, which is responsible for specific mRNA codon recognition, and the 3' end, to which the tRNAs corresponding amino acid is attached (by aminoacyl-tRNA synthetases). tRNAs cope with the degeneracy of the genetic code in two manners: having more than one tRNA (with a specific anti-codon) for a particular amino acid; and 'wobble' base-pairing, i.e. permitting non-standard base-pairing at the 3rd anti-codon position.
Source: RNAcentral